This 497-nucleotide ribosomal RNA is filed under the name uncultured bacterium. RNAcentral describes it as "partial 16S ribosomal RNA". It matches the Rfam family "Bacterial small subunit ribosomal RNA", at positions 28 to 507 of the family's 1533-position model. The record is from RNAcentral.
GAUGAACGCUGGCGGCGUGCCUAAUACAUGCAAGUCGAGCGAACAGACGAGGAGCUUGCUCCUCUGACGUUAGCGGCGGACGGGUGAGUAACACGUGGAUAACCUACCUAUAAGACUGGGAUGACUUCGGGAAACCGGAGCUAAUACCGGAUAAUAUAUUGAACCGCAUGGUUCAAUAGUGAAAGACGGUUUUGCUGUCACUUAUAGAUGGAUCCGCGCCGCAUUAGCUAGUUGGUAAGGUAACGGCUUACCAAGGCAACGAUGCGUAGCCGACCUGAGAGGGUGAUCGGCCACACUGGAACUGAGACACGGUUCAGACUCCUACGGGAGGCAGCAGUAGGGAAUCUUCCGCAAUGGGCGAAAGCUUGACGGAGCAACGCCGCGUGAGUGAUGAAGGUCUUCGGAUCGUAAAACUCUGUUAUUAGGGAAGAACAAAUGUGUAAGUAACUAUGCACGUCUUGACGGUACCUAAUCAGAAAGCCACGGCUAACUACGUG